GACGAACGCUGGCGGCGUGCUUAACACAUGCAAGUCGAACGGAAAGGCCCUGCUUUUGUGGGGUGCUCGAGUGGCGAACGGGUGAGUAACACGUGAGUAACCUGCCCUUGACUUUGGGAUAACUUCAGGAAACUGGGGCUAAUACCGGAUAGGAGCUCCUGCUGCAUGGUGGGGGUUGGAAAGUUUCGGCGGAUGGGGAUGGACUCGCGGCUUAUCAGCUGGUUGGUGGGGUAGUGGCUUACCAAGGCUUUGACGGGUAGCCGGCCUGAGAGGGUGACCGGCCACAUUGGGACUGCGAUACGGCCCAGACUCCUACGGGAGGCAGCAGUGGGGAAUAUUGCACAAUGGGCGGAAGCCUGAUGCAGCAACGCCGCGUGCGGGAUGACGGCCUUCGGGUUGUAAACCGCUUUCGCCUGUGACGAAGCGUGAGUGACGGUAAUGGGUAAAGAAGCACCGGCUAACUACGUG
RNAcentral lists this ribosomal RNA (468 nucleotides) under uncultured bacterium. RNAcentral describes it as "partial 16S ribosomal RNA". It matches the Rfam family "Bacterial small subunit ribosomal RNA", at positions 28 to 507 of the family's 1533-position model. The record is from RNAcentral.